Molecule: long non-coding RNA, 1105 nt
Filed under: Olea europaea subsp. europaea
Lineage: Eukaryota; Viridiplantae; Streptophyta; Magnoliopsida; Lamiales; Oleaceae
Source: RNAcentral
CUACGACUCAUCGACUGGUAGAAUCUGUACCUCGGAUGAGUGGUGGGUCCGAAAAAUUAAGGUACCAUCAUUGCAUAUACAAACCUUCAAAUUGUCGUAUCUGCAUGCGUUGAAUUAGGUAUCUAUUCGUCUACGUUGGCAGUGGUGCUAAGAUUCGUGUUAUGGGUUUGGCGGAUUGGCCUUAACUUGUUGUCGUGUUUGCUUUUAUUUAUUUUUGAGAUUUUGUAUUGCUGCAUAGAUAAUUGUUGCAAGUUUAAAUGGCGUAAUACUGUAACGGGAACAAAUAUUUCAUUGACAUACGCCUGAUUUCAUGUUCGUUGCGUUUGGCUUUCGUUAUCCUACAUGUAACUUUUAUUCACAUUUCUACGUAACGUGUGUAAAAUUCUUUCCACUUGUAUUGUGACAGGAGAACAAAUACUACAAAGAAUUUAAGGACAGAGACUAUCGAGAUGUGUACGGAUACAAGGCUUUGUUCGGGGAUGCGUUCGACUGCGACAAGUAUGUAGUCACUCCUACUAAGGCACGUCGAAUUGGAUUGGCAAUGUUUGAGGGCAACGGAUAUGAAGACCAUCGAGAUGAGAUCACAGUCGAUGUUGAGAGCAGCAGUUCAAGUGACAAGGGUGAAAAAAGAAAUGUGACUGCAGCAAUAUGGAUGUCUCGGGACGACAUAGUGGAGACAAAUGAAAGGUAGGCACCAAAAAGUGGAAGGAAAAGAAGAAGAAGAUUUUCGUUCAGGAGCUAUCAUUCUCGGUGGAUCGGGGGACAACGACCAGUAAGAGGGUUGCUGACGAACUCGACAACCUCAUUGGACCGCCUGUUUAGGACCUAAAGACAUGCAUGCAGGAGUUAUUGGGAAUAGGUUGACUGGAGAAAAAUACGGAUCUAUACUUCUAGACGUGUACCUUUCUUUCCCAAAAACGCAACAGGGAGAUGUUGGAUAUGCAAGACAAUGCGAAAGAAAAAUUUGCAUUGGUGGAAUGGAAUUGGUAGGAGUAUCGUAAAGCAUAGUCUCAGUGAUGUUUUUGUUUGAGUGGUCGGACUGUACCUCUUUUUCAAUUGUGGUCAUUUGGGUUGCUUUGUAAUUUGAAACAUUUUCUUAUGUCAU